AUUGAACGCUGGCGGCAGGCCUAACACAUGCAAGUCGAGCGAGCGGCGGACGGGUGAGUAAUGUAUGGGGACUGCCCGAUAGAGGGGGAUAACUACUGGAAACGGUAGCUCAUACCGCAUACUAUCGGAUACCCCCUAUGGGAUUAGCUAGUAGGUGAGGUAAUGGCUCACCUAGGCGACGAUCCCUAGCUGGUCUGAGAGGAUGAUCAGCAACACUGGGACUGAGACACGGCCCAGACUCCUACGGAGGAAGCAGUGGGGAAUAGUGCACAAGGGGCGAAAGGCUGAUGCAGCCAUGCGGCGUGUGUGAAGAAGGCCUGCGGGUUGUAAAGCACUUUAAGCGAGGAGGCGUUACUCGCAGAAGAAGCACCGGCUAACUCCGUGCCAGCAGCCGCGGUAAUAC
RNAcentral lists this ribosomal RNA (403 nucleotides) under uncultured bacterium. Its description in RNAcentral is "partial 16S ribosomal RNA". It matches the Rfam family "Bacterial small subunit ribosomal RNA", at positions 30 to 526 of the family's 1533-position model. The record is from RNAcentral.